This 554-nucleotide ribosomal RNA is filed under the name uncultured bacterium. Its description in RNAcentral is "bacterial SSU rRNA". It matches the Rfam family "Bacterial small subunit ribosomal RNA", at positions 338 to 885 of the family's 1533-position model. The record is from RNAcentral.
CCUACGGGAGGCAGCAGUGGGGAAUUUUGGACAAUGGGCGAAAGCCUGAUCCAGCAAUGCCGCGUGUGUGAAGAAGGCCUUCGGGUUGUAAAGCACUUUUGGCGGGAACGAAACAGCGCUUGCUAAUACCGAGCGCUAAUGACGGUACCCGCAGAAUAAGCACCGGCUAACUACGUGCCAGCAGCCGCGGUAAGACGUAGGGUGCAAGCGUUAAUCGGAAUUACUGGGCGUAAAGCGUGCGCAGGCGGUUUUGUAAGACAGAUGUGAAAUCCCCGGGCUCAACCUGGGAACUGCAUUUGUGACUGCAAGGCUAGAGUGCGUCAGAGGGAGGUGGAAUUCCGCGUGUAGCAGUGAAAUGCGUAGUGAUGCGGAGGAACACCGAUGGCGAAGGCAGCCUCCUGGGAUGACACUGACGCUCAUGCACGAAAGCGUGGGGAGCAAACAGGAUUAGAUACCCUGGUAGUCCACGCCCUAAACGAUGUCAACUAGUUGUCGGGGAUUCGUUUCCUUGGUAACGCAGCUAACGCGUGAAGUUGACCGCCUGGGGAGUACGG